GAUGAACGCUGGCGGCGUGCCUAAUACAUGCAAGUCGAGCGAACGGACGAGAAGCUUGCUUUUCUGAUGUUAGCGGCGGACGGGUGAGUAACACGUGGAUAACCUACCUAUAAGACUGGGAUAACUUCGGGAAACCGGAGCUAAUACCGGAUAAUAUUUUGAACCGCAUGGUUCAAAAGUGAAAGACGGUCUUGCUGUCACUUAUAGCUGGAUCCGCGCUGCAUUAGCUAGUUGGUAAGGUAACGGCUUACCAAGGCAACGAUGCAUAGCCGACCUGAGAGGCUGAUCGGCCACACUGGAACUGAGACACGGUCCAGACUCCUACGGGAGGCAGCAGUAGGGAAUCUUCCGCAAUGGGCGAAAGCCUGACGGAGCAACGCCGCGUGAGUGAUGAAGGUCUUCGGAUCGUAAAACUCUGUUAUUAGGGAAGAACAUAUGUGUAAGGAACUGUGCACAUCUCGACGGUACCUAAUCAGAAAGCCACGGCUAACUACGUG
Molecule: ribosomal RNA, 497 nt
Filed under: uncultured bacterium
Lineage: Bacteria
Description: partial 16S ribosomal RNA
Rfam family: Bacterial small subunit ribosomal RNA
Source: RNAcentral